RNAcentral lists this ribosomal RNA (253 nucleotides) under uncultured bacterium. Its description in RNAcentral is "partial 16S ribosomal RNA". It matches the Rfam family "Bacterial small subunit ribosomal RNA", at positions 524 to 776 of the family's 1533-position model. The record is from RNAcentral.
UACGGAGGGGGCAAGCGUUGUUCGGAAUUACUGGGCGUAAAGGGCGCGUAGGCGGCCUGCUAAGUCGAACGUGAAAUCCCUGGGCUCAACCCAGGAACUGCGUCCGAUACUGGUUGGCUUGAAUCCGGGAGAGGGAUGCGGAAUUCCAGGUGUAGCGGUGAAAUGCGUAGAUAUCUGGAGGAACACCAGUAGCGAAGGCGGCUCGCUGGGCCAUGCCUGACGCUGAGACGCGAAAGCUAGGGGAGCGAACAGG